AAGACUGUGCUUCACAGGAUCAUUUCUGUAGGCAAGUUUUCAUUUUCUCUUUCCCCAAAGAGAAGUCUUUCCAACCCACGAUGAUGAGACGCAGCGGCUGUCCUGGAGCGUGAAGCUGGCAGAUCUCGGCCGUAUCUCUGAUGCGCCGGCCUGUGCUUGAUGAUCGGUUCCGAUGCAAAGGGCAGACGCAAUCUGAGUGGU
Molecule: small nucleolar RNA, 201 nt
Organism: Anopheles cruzii
Lineage: Eukaryota; Metazoa; Arthropoda; Insecta; Diptera; Culicidae
Product: small nucleolar RNA U3
Exons: 1
Source: RefSeq, a predicted model, not a curated record